CAAAGACGGCGAAACGCUACGUGUGAACAACAGCGUUUCAGCAGCAGCUGGACUGGGAGGUCUCAGUGACGUCAUUUCAAAGGAAAACGGCCGGGUUGCGGUGGCAGCAGUCUUAGGACACUUCCUCCAGCUCCUCUGGGAUGAUGUCAAGGCCUGCCGAAAGACAUAUUCCCUCCAGCGUGUCGUGAGUCUUUCCCGAGGCCUCCUCCAAGUGGGACAUGCCUUGAACACCUUCCUAGUUAGGCAUCCAGGAGGCAUCCGAAACAGAUGCCCAAGCCACCUCAGCUGACUUCUCUCGAUGUGAAGGAGCAGCGGCUCUACUCCGAGCUCCACCAAAGCUCCUCUGACACCCCGCGAAGGAAACUAAUUUUGGCUGCUUGUAUCUGAGAUGUUUUGCUUUCUGUCAUAACCCAAAACUUAUGACCAAAUAGGUGAGAGUAGGAACGCAGAUUGACCAGUAAAUUCAGAGCCUUGC
Non-coding RNA from Danio rerio (zebrafish), 475 nucleotides. Lineage: Eukaryota; Metazoa; Chordata; Actinopteri; Cypriniformes; Danionidae. The record is from RefSeq and is a predicted model, not a curated record.